CAGACAGCUCAUUCCCAGGAAGGGGAGCAAUGUAAGCAAAGACGGCCAAGUCCAGUCAGCUGGAACUAAGUAAGGGAGGAUCUCACUGUUAAACCAAUUACUUUAGAGUUGGUAGUUCUUGAGUAAGAAGCUGGUGCAUGGAUGCAUGGAGAGUGACGUUUGGGGCAGGACUAACUUGGCAAGGCUACAGGAUGGACAAGAAUCGAGAAAGACUGGGAAGUUGGAAAACUGCUUGUAUCUUGUGAGGUCUAUGUGAGGGAGCAUCUGGAUUUAAGAUGCCAACAGAAGAAAGAAGCAUCUCAUGCGGAAAUGCUGAGAAGGAGCAUAUGAGGAUGUCAGAGGGGACCAGAACAUGGCAGAGUCCGGGAAGUAGAGGGAAUGGGAGAUUCCAAUAGUGUCCAGUGCUUCAGAGGAGACCCAUGAAAUAGGAUCCACUUCUUUAUUAUAUUUUUGGAGAACAAGAAUCUUUGUCUGGAAAUUCCACAAGUAUGCCUUCUGCAAGAUUAAAAGUGCCACAAAGAACAAAAAUGAGCCCAGAACCAGAUGCGUGCUAGAAGACAUCAGACAUGUUAAGUUUCAUCUCCAUUGACCUGGGCCCGAAGUUGUAUUGCAGUAUGCACACGUCCUUUGAUGCCUGGCACAGAGAAAUGUGAGUAGCAGGGAAAAAACAAGAUUUGAUGUUUUUGGAACCAAAAGUUAAUAUGGGGGGAAGUCUUCCAAUCAGCCGACAUGAACAAUGGUAAGUGCAUGAUUUAAUUCUUAUUGAUGCCUAGUCAAAUCACCAGAGAACUGCAGAGAAUUGUAAUUCACCAGAAUUAUAAUGACACUGAAUAUGUAAUUCAAAAUUCUGUCAUUUUCACUGGAAAAUUAUAUCACUAGAAUUUUCCACGUGAAAAUGGCCUUUGUAAAUCUUUUAUAUGCUGCCAUAAUAUUCAGUUUAGCUUCAGUCAGCGCAGAGUUUUGUGUUGGUAUCCUGCUCUGUGUGAUGAACUGUACUGCGCAACAUAAUUCUGUUCUGGACCAACUCUAACACAAGUUUUCCUCUCUUGGUGCACUUUCUCUGGCUCUGCUUCUGUCUCUCAAGUUCAGUGAUUCCCUUUUCCUAGAAUACCUUUCCUUUCUGUUUCUGCCUGGUAAAUUACUCUCGGUCUUUUAAGAUCUGGCUCAUAUCUCAUCCUUGUUAUCCACAAGGCUUGACUCCAUAAAUAAUUAGUGUUCCCAUAACACGCAUCUGUGAUUGCCUCGUAGUGCAUGAUGCUUUUAAUUUAUCCAUUAGGUUAUUAUUUCUACAUUGUCAUUAUUGUUGAUAUUUAUAUUGUGUAAUGUAACAAUAAUUUUCACAUAUAUUUACACUUACUUUUACAUUUAUAUUGAUUUAGUAGUCACUGCCAUACUUUAUAAUGAUGUUCUUUAUUAUUUUCUUGGAUGGCCAUACCAUAAUUCUGUUUCCUAGAAAGGCUUGUGAAACUGUCUUGUAUCAAAUAGUUCUCCUGGGACUUGAAAAUUAAUCAUCAUUUGAAUUAAUCAACAAUUAAAUUUAUUUAAAUUAAUCAUUAAUUCAUUAGUUACUUAAACUACUGUUAUGGGAGACUUCUAUUUUAUCUUUGAAUUUUUCUGUUUGACUUUUUUUUAUCUUCCUCAGGAUACAGCGAGUGCUCUUCUUUAGCUGUCUUCCAUAAUUAACAUUUAUCCUUUGUUAAUUAACAAAACUAGUUCUUUUUCUUUCAAUAUGCUCAAUUUUCUUAAGCUUUCUUCUAUAUGUUCUUGACGUUUUCUUUUAGUAAUUUCUAUGUCUAAUGUGACCUUCACAUUGUUAUGUUUUAUAUUCUCUAUCACUU
Molecule: long non-coding RNA, 1838 nt
Organism: Cercocebus atys (sooty mangabey)
Lineage: Eukaryota; Metazoa; Chordata; Mammalia; Primates; Cercopithecidae
Exons: 4
Source: RefSeq, a predicted model, not a curated record